Molecule: ribosomal RNA, 477 nt
Filed under: uncultured bacterium
Lineage: Bacteria
Description: partial 16S ribosomal RNA
Rfam family: Bacterial small subunit ribosomal RNA
Source: RNAcentral
AUUGAACGCUGGCGGCAUGCCUUACACAUGCAAGUCGAACGGUAACAGGUUAAGCUGUCGAGUGGCGAACGGGUGAGUAAUGUAUCGGAACGUGCCCAGUCGUGGGGGAUAACUGCUCGAAAGAGCAGCUAAUACCGCAUACGACCUGAGGGUGAAAGCGGGGGAUCGCAAGACCUCGCGCGAUUGGAUCUGCCGAUAUCCGAUUAGGUAGUUGGUGAGGUAAAGGCUCACCAAGCCGACGAUCUGUAGCUGGUCUGAGAGGACGACCAGCCACACUGGGACUGAGACACGGCCCAGACUCCUACGGGAGGCAGCAGUGGGGAAUAUUGGACAAUGGGCGAAAGCCUGAUCCAGCCAUGCCGCGUGCGGGAAGAAGGCCUUCGGGUUGUAAACCGCUUUUGUCAGGGAAGAAAAGGUUCUGGCUAAUACCUGGGACUCAUGACGGUACCUGAAGAAUAAGCACCGGCUAACUACGUG